UGCUUUAAAAUGAAUAUCAUAGCUAAAAUAGAGAAACAGUUUUUAUAGCAUUUUUCCCCAGCUCCUGCCGGAGCUGCAAUGUUUCAAGAUGGCUCUCGCGGCAGAAAGUUACGGUACGGCACGUGGCAUUAUUGUAGAUAAUUUUGGUGUAUAUAGAUUACUAACAGUCGGCGAUGAGAAAGUGGCGCCAUCUAAUAGAUCAAAGGCGAAAGCAAAGGUAUAGGGUUUCAAGCGAUGGCGCCAUAACCUUUAGGCUGUGCCCGGUAAGAUGGCGCCGUUUUUUGACAUUUAAUAAAUUGAACACAUAUUAGUGAAUUAGGUUCAAAGUCAAAUGGCGUUUUAAAAGUUUUAAUCACGUGUCGAAAGAUAAGGCAGUAAAUUUACGUGGCUACAAAGUGUUCUUUGACAAUACACCUCUAUUUCAAAUUCUCUUUGCUGUUAGUUACCCAAAUCAGUUGAACAGUUUGCUACUUUGCUGUGCGGUAUUUAGAGCACCAACAUAGGUCUUGACUGGCUUAAAAAGUUAAAAUGCUCAGAGUUUUUGUAUAUUUUUGAUUCGUUAUUUUUGUUGCAUGUUGAGACGGCCCAAUGAUGCUAUUUUGAGGUCAUUUACUGAAAAUAGGUCCGUUGGCACUGUUUGAUGUAUCUUUCUAAUCAUGCUCUACCCGUUCCUCGCCUUUACCAUUACUACCGAUCAGAUUUGAUAACGGCACUGUCACAAGAACUUACAUUAUUCAGUCAGCGGCAGUAAUGCAGUUGGCAGUAAUGUCGCGUUACAAAUACUGCGGCAGUAGUGCAGCUGCGGUUGGGAAUCCGAACGUUACCUUUACAUUGUUUACCUAUAGAGUAGUGGUCGACCUGGGGUAUCUUGCUGUAGGUUGUUUAUACGUUGCGCUUUAAGUUUAUUUGUAUAAUUUAAAACGCAGCAGUGACAGCGAAGUAUUCACACACACACACUCAAAACGUUUUACCUAUGACCAAAAUAAAAUUCAUGAAACGGAACGCAAACUUGUCAUGAUUGACAGAUGUCAAAGUCAGAAAGCCCAUGAAAUGCGGGAAUCAAGUUUCAACAAAAUAUGUUGUAUACGUGCGAAAUAUGUUUAAAAAAUUCACCACGUCGUACAGGACGAUCAACGAAACUCUCGACUUCUUUAAGAGCAGUCAGGUGGAUACAUCUCUCAAUAUGUUCGUAAUCUCAGAGAGCGUCUAAAGCGAGCAAUCCGAUGAUAGCUUUAUGCUCGACGACAUUGGAAUGACGAAGAUUGGAUCAAUGCGAAAUUAGCUCAAAUUCAAAAUACGGAUACAGAAGAUGACGUUUUAUUUCGUGAGUGAGCCAUCCAUCAAUUUGUGUCAACAAGAACAGUCCCAAAGCAUCCAAGAAAGUACCAGUGUUUCUAUUACUGACUUGAUUAUAUAAAUCAUGCUAUUUAUUUAAUAAUUUCAAGUAAUACUAACUACAUUUAUAGCAAUUAAAAUAUAUGUCUGA
Molecule: long non-coding RNA, 1486 nt
Organism: Cydia pomonella (codling moth)
Lineage: Eukaryota; Metazoa; Arthropoda; Insecta; Lepidoptera; Tortricidae
Exons: 3
Source: RefSeq, a predicted model, not a curated record